This 2909-nucleotide ribosomal RNA is filed under the name Pseudomonas aeruginosa. Its description in RNAcentral is "bacterial LSU rRNA". It matches the Rfam family "Bacterial large subunit ribosomal RNA". The record is from RNAcentral. Lineage: Bacteria; Pseudomonadati; Pseudomonadota; Gammaproteobacteria; Pseudomonadales; Pseudomonadaceae.
GUUAUAUGGUCAAGUGAAGAAGCGCAUACGGUGGAUGCCUUGGCAGUCAGAGGCGAUGAAAGACGUGGUAGCCUGCGAAAAGCUUCGGGGAGUCGGCAAACAGACUUUGAUCCGGAGAUCUCUGAAUGGGGGAACCCACCUAGGAUAACCUAGGUAUCUUGUACUGAAUCCAUAGGUGCAAGAGGCGAACCAGGGAACUGAAACAUCUAAGUACCCUGAGGAAAAGAAAUCAACCGAGAUUCCCUUAGUAGUGGCGAGCGAACGGGGAUUAGCCCUUAAGCUUCAUUGAUUUUAGCGGAACGCUCUGGAAAGUGCGGCCAUAGUGGGUGAUAGCCCCGUACGCGAAAGGAUCUUUGAAGUGAAAUCGAGUAGGACGGAGCACGAGAAACUUUGUCUGAACAUGGGGGGACCAUCCUCCAAGGCUAAAUACUACUGACUGACCGAUAGUGAACCAGUACCGUGAGGGAAAGGCGAAAAGAACCCCGGAGAGGGGAGUGAAAUAGAACCUGAAACCGUAUGCGUACAAGCAGUGGGAGCCUACUUGUUAGGUGACUGCGUACCUUUUGUAUAAUGGGUCAGCGACUUAUAUUCAGUGGCAAGCUUAACCGUAUAGGGUAGGCGUAGCGAAAGCGAGUCUUAAUAGGGCGUUUAGUCGCUGGGUAUAGACCCGAAACCGGGCGAUCUAUCCAUGAGCAGGUUGAAGGUUAGGUAACACUGACUGGAGGACCGAACCCACUCCCGUUGAAAAGGUAGGGGAUGACUUGUGGAUCGGAGUGAAAGGCUAAUCAAGCUCGGAGAUAGCUGGUUCUCCUCGAAAGCUAUUUAGGUAGCGCCUCAUGUAUCACUCUGGGGGGUAGAGCACUGUUUCGGCUAGGGGGUCAUCCCGACUUACCAAACCGAUGCAAACUCCGAAUACCCAGAAGUGCCGAGCAUGGGAGACACACGGCGGGUGCUAACGUCCGUCGUGAAAAGGGAAACAACCCAGACCGCCAGCUAAGGUCCCAAAGUUGUGGUUAAGUGGUAAACGAUGUGGGAAGGCUUAGACAGCUAGGAGGUUGGCUUAGAAGCAGCCACCCUUUAAAGAAAGCGUAAUAGCUCACUAGUCGAGUCGGCCUGCGCGGAAGAUGUAACGGGGCUCAAACCACACACCGAAGCUGCGGGUGUCACGUAAGUGACGCGGUAGAGGAGCGUUCUGUAAGCCUGUGAAGGUGAGUUGAGAAGCUUGCUGGAGGUAUCAGAAGUGCGAAUGCUGACAUGAGUAACGACAAUGGGUGUGAAAAACACCCACGCCGAAAGACCAAGGGUUCCUGCGCAACGUUAAUCGACGCAGGGUUAGUCGGUUCCUAAGGCGAGGCUGAAAAGCGUAGUCGAUGGGAAACAGGUUAAUAUUCCUGUACUUCUGGUUACUGCGAUGGAGGGACGGAGAAGGCUAGGCCAGCUUGGCGUUGGUUGUCCAAGUUUAAGGUGGUAGGCUGAAAUCUUAGGUAAAUCCGGGGUUUCAAGGCCGAGAGCUGAUGACGAGUCGUCUUUUAGAUGACGAAGUGGUUGAUGCCAUGCUUCCAAGAAAAGCUUCUAAGCUUCAGGUAACCAGGAACCGUACCCCAAACCGACACAGGUGGUCGGGUAGAGAAUACCAAGGCGCUUGAGAGAACUCGGGUGAAGGAACUAGGCAAAAUGGCACCGUAACUUCGGGAGAAGGUGCGCCGGCUAGGUGAAGGAUUUACUCCGUAAGCUCUGGCUGGUCGAAGAUACCAGGCCGCUGCGACUGUUUAUUAAAACACAGCACUCUGCAAACACGAAAGUGGACGUAUAGGGUGUGACGCCUGCCCGGUGCCGGAAGGUUAAUUGAUGGGGUUAGCGCAAGCGAAGCUCUUGAUCGAAGCCCCGGUAAACGGCGGCCGUAACUAUAACGGUCCUAAGGUAGCGAAAUUCCUUGUCGGGUAAGUUCCGACCUGCACGAAUGGCGUAACGAUGGCGGCGCUGUCUCCACCCGAGACUCAGUGAAAUUGAAAUCGCUGUGAAGAUGCAGUGUAUCCGCGGCUAGACGGAAAGACCCCGUGAACCUUUACUGUAGCUUUGCACUGGACUUUGAGCCUGCUUGUGUAGGAUAGGUGGGAGGCUUUGAAGCGUGGACGCCAGUUCGCGUGGAGCCAUCCUUGAAAUACCACCCUGGCAUGCUUGAGGUUCUAACUCUGGUCCGUGAUCCGGAUCGAGGACAGUGUAUGGUGGGCAGUUUGACUGGGGCGGUCUCCUCCUAAAGAGUAACGGAGGAGUACGAAGGUGCGCUCAGACCGGUCGGAAAUCGGUCGCAGAGUAUAAAGGCAAAAGCGCGCUUGACUGCGAGACAGACACGUCGAGCAGGUACGAAAGUAGGUCUUAGUGAUCCGGUGGUUCUGUAUGGAAGGGCCAUCGCUCAACGGAUAAAAGGUACUCCGGGGAUAACAGGCUGAUACCGCCCAAGAGUUCAUAUCGACGGCGGUGUUUGGCACCUCGAUGUCGGCUCAUCACAUCCUGGGGCUGAAGCCGGUCCCAAGGGUAUGGCUGUUCGCCAUUUAAAGUGGUACGCGAGCUGGGUUUAGAACGUCGUGAGACAGUUCGGUCCCUAUCUGCCGUGGACGUUUGAGAUUUGAGAGGGGCUGCUCCUAGUACGAGAGGACCGGAGUGGACGAACCUCUGGUGUUCCGGUUGUCACGCCAGUGGCAUUGCCGGGUAGCUAUGUUCGGAAAAGAUAACCGCUGAAAGCAUCUAAGCGGGAAACUUGCCUCAAGAUGAGAUCUCACUGGGAACUUGAUUCCCCUGAAGGGCCGUCGAAGACUACGACGUUGAUAGGCUGGGUGUGUAAGCGUUGUGAGGCGUUGAGCUAACCAGUACUAAUUGCCCGUGAGGCUUGACCAUAUAACACCCAAACA